This is a long non-coding RNA of Macrobrachium nipponense, 379 nucleotides long. RefSeq lists it as uncharacterized. The transcript is spliced from 3 exons. The record is from RefSeq and is a predicted model, not a curated record. Lineage: Eukaryota; Metazoa; Arthropoda; Malacostraca; Decapoda; Palaemonidae.
UUUUCAGGUCAAACAUCUGAUGAGAGCAUUGCAGCCUCUCGGUCACGACGCACACGUAAAGACAAACAUGGCAGACUGGCUGCUUUAGAAAGAUUGCGAGGUUUGAAAGGCACAAAACACAAAUAUGAGGUCAAUGAUGUGGUGAAUGUAUACGAAGAGGUAGAUGAACGCGAGUACUCCAAACGUCGUCAAGAUCGACUAGAGGAUGACUGGAUUAUUGAUGAUGACGGUUCAGGAUAUGUUGAAGAUGGCCGUGAAAUUUUUGAUGAGGAGGAUGCCGACGGGGAUGCUAUUUUCCUUUCUAAAGGCAAAGAUAAAAAAGGGUCUAAGAAAAAAGGUGGAAGCAAGUCCUUAGAAAGCUCAGCAGUGAGACAUGGUG